AGCGGAAGCGGUUUCUGCGCAGCCAGAGCAGGGUCCGGUGACCUUUGAGGAGGUGGCCGUGCAUUUCUCGGAGGAGGAGUGGGCUCUGCUGGACCCAGGCCAAAGGACUCUGCACCAGGAAGUCAUGGAGGAGAAUCGUGGGAUCCUGGCCUCUCUAGGUGAUCACAGGGAGAGCAAGGGAAAUGGAAUAAAUCAGAGAAGGAAAACUGAAACUGAA
Molecule: long non-coding RNA, 217 nt
Organism: Elgaria multicarinata webbii
Lineage: Eukaryota; Metazoa; Chordata; Lepidosauria; Squamata; Anguidae
Exons: 3
Source: RefSeq, a predicted model, not a curated record